Molecule: long non-coding RNA, 492 nt
Organism: Mytilus trossulus (common blue mussel)
Lineage: Eukaryota; Metazoa; Mollusca; Bivalvia; Mytilida; Mytilidae
Exons: 3
Source: RefSeq, a predicted model, not a curated record
CAGGAAAUGUAAGUAAUACGCAAUAGGUUUGUUUGUGAUAAAGGUUACCUUGGUUGUUUUAGUGAUAAAGAAAAUAGUAUGUUACCAUCAAACACCGUCAAGGAUAUUUCAGAUUUGACUCUGAAGAAAUGCCAACAACAAUGUCAUGGCUUCAAAUUUUUAGGACUUCAGGUGAUAGAUAAAGUGAGUGGUAUUGAUAAUCAGAUUGACAUGGACAAUAGAUGAACAAUAGAUACCUGACAAUAAUUGGAGAUUUAAACUGUGUACCUGUGUGAACCAUAUCAACGGAAACACAACUGUUUGUUAAUUAUGAUAUUUCUAAAUCUUGCAAUGUAUUUGAAUUAUAUUUAUCUAGGGCAUGCUAUGACUUAAAACUAAUCAAGAUGCCUGCACACAGAGUAAAUUUUGUAGUGAAAAUACGGCCAUUUUUGCCACAUAUGAAUUAAGUUUUGAAUUAGUCUGUGGGCGGCAUGAAUAGCUACAUUUAAAAUA